GCAGUGAACUGAAGCCCCAGUAAGCGGAGGCCGUAACUAGAACGGUCAGAAGUGAGAGAAAGUGCUUGUGGGGUAGGUUCCGACACGAACGAAAGGCGGAACGAUUGGGGCAGUGGCUCAACAACAGAGUCGGUGAGAUUGUAAUUCCGGUGAAGAUGGCGGAGACCUGCGACAGGACGGAAAGACCCCAUGGAGCUUUACGGUAGCUUGACAUUGGGUCUUGGUACUACAUGUACAGGAUAGGUGGGAGGCUGUGAAACCAGGACGCCAGUUUUGGCGGAGCCAUCCUUGGGAUACCACCGUUGUAGUACUGGGACGCUAACCAUAGGCCAUGAAUCUGGUCUUGGGACACUGCCAGGUGGGCAGGUUGGCUGGGGCGGUCGCCUCCCAAAAGGUAACGGAGGCGCUCAAAGUUUCUCUCAGUACGGUCGGAAAUCGUACGUAGAGUGUAAAGG
This 455-nucleotide ribosomal RNA is filed under the name Clostridioides difficile. Its description in RNAcentral is "bacterial LSU rRNA". It matches the Rfam family "Bacterial large subunit ribosomal RNA", at positions 1904 to 2357 of the family's 2925-position model. The record is from RNAcentral. Lineage: Bacteria; Bacillati; Bacillota; Clostridia; Peptostreptococcales; Peptostreptococcaceae.